This is a long non-coding RNA of Lutra lutra (Eurasian river otter), 90 nucleotides long. RefSeq lists it as uncharacterized. The record is from RefSeq and is a predicted model, not a curated record. Lineage: Eukaryota; Metazoa; Chordata; Mammalia; Carnivora; Mustelidae. The transcript is spliced from 3 exons.
AUCUUGAGACUGCUAGAAAAGUCCCACUCCAGUAGUGCCUGCCCAGUGUCACACAUCAGUGGGUCUGUGACUAGAGGCAUCUCAGAGUUG